This is a long non-coding RNA of Hippopotamus amphibius kiboko, 725 nucleotides long. RefSeq lists it as uncharacterized. The record is from RefSeq and is a predicted model, not a curated record. Lineage: Eukaryota; Metazoa; Chordata; Mammalia; Artiodactyla; Hippopotamidae. The transcript has 3 exons.
GUUAGGGGAGAGGAUUGCUGUGUGAUGAAAUUGGGUUGGGGACCUUGAGUUUGAGGGACCGUGGGAAUGCAGAUUGGAAUCCUGAAGCAAUGAGGGUGUAGCCCUAGUUAAAGGACAUGGAAACAACCUAAAUGCCCAUCAACAGAUGAAUGGAUAAAGAAGAUGUGGUACAUAUAUAUAAUGGAAUAUUACUCAGCCAUAAAAAGAAAUGAAAUUGGGUCAUUUGUAUAGAGAUGUGGAUGGACCUAGAGUGUGUCAUACAGAGUGAAAUGUGGUGGCAGGAGUAUCAGCAGCUAUUUUUGAUCAUGAGGUAACUGUGAGGAUGGAAACAACAUAAAGAAGAAUGGAAGAAGAGAAUGACAGAAGGAGCCUGGGUCCCUGAUGACCUUGUGCCAACCCUGGACUGCCUACCUCAGUAUUUCAUGUAUAUAACAAUAACGCAUUAAAUGUUUCUGUUAUUUGGGGUUUUCUAUUCCAUGCAAUUGGGUCUAAUCCUUACUGAUACAUAACACUUAGAAGUGGAUGGCAUUCCAAUAAUGUGAAAAUAUGUAUGCAAAAGGUUGUUCACUGCUAUAUCAUUUGUAAGCGCAAAAUAUUAGAAACCACCUAAAACCCCACGUGUAUAAGACAGGUUUCAUAACUGUGGUACAUCUACCCAACAGUGUUCUAUGCAGCUCUAAAAAUGAUUGAGGAUGAGAUCUAUGACCUUAAGUGGGGGUGAUUUC